GAUGAACGCUAGCUACAGGCAUAACACAUGCAAGUCGAGGGGUAACGAGAGGGAAGCUUGCUUUCCUUGUCGACGACCGGCGCACGGGUGAGUAACGCGUAUCCAACCUGCCCCCAACUAGGGAAUAACCUUGCGAAAGUAAGACUAAUACCCUAUACUUUCCUCAGAUGUCAUCUGACGAGGAAUAAAGAUUUAUCGGUUGUGGAUGGGGAUGCGUCUGAUUAGCUUGUCGGCGGGGUAACGGCCCACCAAGGCAACGAUCAGUAGGGGUUCUGAGAGGAAGGUCCCCCACAUUGGAACUGAGACACGGUCCAAACUCCUACGGGAGGCAGCAGUGAGGAAUAUUGGUCAAUGGGCGGAAGCCUGAACCAGCCAAGUAGCGUGCAGGAUGACGGCCCUAUGGGUUGUAAACUGCUUUUAUACAGGAAUAAAGUUAGCCACGUGUGGUUAUUUGUAGGUACUGUAUGAAUAAGGACCGGCUAAUUCCGUGCCAGCCGCCGCGGUAA
RNAcentral lists this ribosomal RNA (506 nucleotides) under uncultured bacterium. RNAcentral's name for it is "partial 16S ribosomal RNA". It matches the Rfam family "Bacterial small subunit ribosomal RNA", at positions 28 to 523 of the family's 1533-position model. The record is from RNAcentral.